RNAcentral lists this ribosomal RNA (513 nucleotides) under uncultured bacterium. Its description in RNAcentral is "partial 16S ribosomal RNA". It matches the Rfam family "Bacterial small subunit ribosomal RNA", at positions 28 to 523 of the family's 1533-position model. The record is from RNAcentral.
GACGAACGCUGGCGGCAUGCCUAAUGCAUGCAAGUCGAGCGAACAGAUGAAGUGCUUACACUUCUGACGUUAGCGGCGAACGGGUGAGUAACACGCAAGGAAUCUACCUAUAAGCGGGGGAUAACAUUCGGAAACGGGUGCUAAUACCGCAUAAUAUCUUCUUCCGCAUGGAAGAAGAUUGAAAGACGGCUCUGCUGUCACUUAUAGAUGACCUUGCGGUGCAUUAGUUAGUUGGUGGGGUAACGGCCUACCAAGACGAUGAUGCAUAGCCGACCUGAGAGGGUGAUCGGCCACAUUGGGACUGAGACACGGCCCAAACUCCUACGGGAGGCAGCAGUAGGGAAUCUUCCGCAAUGGGCGAAAGCCUGACGGAGCAAUGCCGCGUGAGUGAAGAAGGCCUUCGGGUCGUAAAACUCUGUUAUAAGAGAAGAACAAAUUGUAGAGUAACUGCUACAGUCUUGACGGUAUCUUAUCAGAAAGCCACGGCUAACUACGUGCCAGCCGCCGCAGUAA